RNAcentral lists this long non-coding RNA (665 nucleotides) under Malus domestica (apple). RNAcentral's name for it is "long non-coding RNA (MDOM_LNC002547)". The record is from RNAcentral. Lineage: Eukaryota; Viridiplantae; Streptophyta; Magnoliopsida; Rosales; Rosaceae.
AAUUAAUUGAUCAUGUCACUCUCUCCAUUUCAACUUCAUAAUUUGAUAUCAUUAAAGAAGCAAAUUAUCGAAAAGAACAUUACUUUGCCAAUUGACUAACUAGCGAUGUCAAUUCCUUUUUUUUUCUUUUUUCAAGGGGAAUUUUUGACAUUUUCAGAACGUUACAUUAAUUAAUAUUCAAAUCAUUCAAUCUUGGAUGGCCCGUUGCAUAAUAUCUAUAUUUCUAUUGGGAAAUGGUAGACAAUAUGUAACACCUACACAACAAUUAAGAAAUGAAUUAUCGUGGUGUCUUCCCGAAAAUAAUCAUGCAAUGGGGGAACCCACCUCUAACGUUUCCAAAAGAAAUGUCAUUUGGACUGUGAAACAUACAUAUUUGGUGAUUGUAUUGAAAUCUUGACUGGAUCAAAAAAAUCCUGAAAAAUUAUAUAUGGGAUGGGCCUAAUGUUUUUGGUAGAGGGCAAGUAUUAGAAAAAUAUUUGGCGUGCCUUCUGAGUUUGGGAGCUGGAGCUCUCCCUCAAAGCCGGCCACGUUCAUCUAAAUUACCUAUUAACAAAAACUUCUUUGUUAAUUAGAAGAGAAUAAAAAGACAAUUUAGUUUUUUAUCACAAAUUAAAUUAUGAGCAGUAAUGUAAUUUCCUGCAAACCAAAUUUACUAUUUUUUUUUA